Molecule: non-coding RNA, 288 nt
Organism: Nomia melanderi (Alkali bee)
Lineage: Eukaryota; Metazoa; Arthropoda; Insecta; Hymenoptera; Halictidae
Source: RefSeq, a predicted model, not a curated record
CUCGAGCCUCUCAUAAGCGAUUACCGAGGAACUGCCGGCGAAAAGCAUCACCUUGAGGAGAAUGCGGUACCGAUGACUCAACUGCAGGUAAAACGGAAGCCCACGGACGACGAGGACCGACAGCGCUGUCGCGUCACCGAUCCUCUGAACCAUAUCAAACAUAAGUAUCAUCAAAAUCGUGCGCCAGUGGAGGUUCCUUCGCAAGAUUGCCUUCUGUUCCCACAGAACAAUGAAAAUCGAGCUUUCAUUUGCUCCCACAGAACAACGAAAAGAAUCAUUUCAUCGAGG